Ursus maritimus (polar bear) is the source of this 1859-nucleotide long non-coding RNA. Lineage: Eukaryota; Metazoa; Chordata; Mammalia; Carnivora; Ursidae. The record is from Ensembl.
CGCCCCUUGAUAAUAUUUAUAAUUCACUUGUUGCAUAUUGGUUUCAUAUAUCAUUUUUCUCAAUUAGGAAAUGAAAGAUGAUUAGUUUCCCCUUUGGAUUAUUUAGCCUAUAAAAUUUUCUGUUACACCAUUUGCUUUACAUUGAAAAUGCAUCCUAAAUCCUGAACCACAUUGGAAUUCUUUAUGACCUUUCCCUUGGUGGUACCUUUUGAAGUCCUGAAAUGUUUUUAUAUUUGAUUGAAAUUUAAUCUGGGUUUCAUUUUACUUUUUAAAACAUAUUGAGCAAGUUAAUUUUCUCUUCGAGUUCCUAAGGGGAAUGAUUCUAGCCCUCUGUGUCCCAAGAAUUCAGACUGAGCCUUGCCAGAACAUUCCUGUGGUUUUCCACAGGGCAGAUCACUGUGUUCAUGAAAUUUUAGUUGUAGCUUGUGUUUUCUGCGGUUAAUUAAAACAUCUGGCUCUUUCAUUUUCCACGAACAGAAUAUAAUCGCUUGGCUGAACAUUUUCAAUAACGAUUAAAUGCCUCAGUCCUCCUUUAGGAUAGCCCAAACUUGUCUUUCGGACACCUUAUACGCUGUUGUCUCUGUUCAUUAAUGAUUUUAAACAGUUGGAAAACAUUUGGGGUUAUCCUGCCAAAUGUAGACUCUUGAGAGGGAGAAGGGGAGAGAGAGAGAGAGAGAGUUUGUGAAUACGAAUCCCUCUAAUGGCCUGGCUUUUCCAGAGAGAUAGAUAGAGAGAGAGAGAGUUUGUGAAUACAGAUCUCUCCAGUGGCUCUGGCUUUUCCAGAAAGAGAGAGAGAGAGUGAGUUUGUGAAUAUGAAUCCCUCCAAUGGCUCUGGCUUUUCCCCUGCAGGUCGGAGCUGCUGUGGGUGCGCUGCUGUGGUCUGUGGCCAAGCAUGCUGCUGUGGCCGGAUCUGCCCAGCUGUGGAACAGAGACAUUUGCCGGAUGGAAAAUCCAUAAAAGAAAGCUCCUGUGAAAGCCGGAGACAGACGCUAAGUAAAAUCAGAAACUGAAUGAAGAGUGAGAUGAAGUGAAGGUCCUUCUCUUACCACUUUCUGUGAUGUGAUGUACACCAGCUUUUACUGAUGUGGAGAGGCCCCAGCCCAGCGGAACAGAGGCAGCCCCCUCGGAGACGGCAUGACUCUAUGCAUGGCUGUCUGUCCUGGGGUUGGACCAUGGAUGUGAGAUGCCUUGGUUUCCAGCCACGUCUGCUUUCUCAGGAAACUCUCCCUGGCAGCUUGGAAUUUAACUGAAGCCCAGUUUCAUCCCUGGUUUUCACCGUCAGUCCGAAGGCUGCUGUUACUUACAGUGGGAGCGGGCAAACAAAAUUCUUCAAGGAGCAGAGCACGGGAGGUCUUUCAAAGAACUUUAGAAUUUUUCACUUUACCUUUUGAUAGAUCUGUUUUCAAAAGGGGCAGGGCAAGUGGAGUCUGUAAUUAAUUAGGUGACAGUGAGUUUUGUUUGGUUUUGUUCCAUGUCUCCUAGGCUUGGAGAAGAUGAGGGGUGUAAAUGUGGAGAACCUUCUUUUUGAAUUCUUUCUUGAUCAGGGACACCCGACAUCAGGAUGUUCAAAACAUCCACACACCUGAAGUGAAGUGUUCCUGUUCUCUUCUGCGUAUCUAGGGUCAAAGAGACAUGUUUGAUGUUAAAAUUACACCUCUUUCCUACGUUUGGUUGACUCUUCUAAGAGAUAGUAUGAAGAAUGCUUCUUCAAAUUCCUUGUUUUCAUAUAUUGCUAUUAUGUAAGAGAGAUGAGACUGUCGUGAUUAUUGAGUGAAAUUUAAAAUCUGCUGCAAGUCAUGAAAUAACAUGUUUUUACCUAUUUUAUCUCUUUAAAAAAUUCUAUUUAAAAAAUUUUUUUU